RNAcentral lists this ribosomal RNA (1403 nucleotides) under uncultured bacterium. RNAcentral describes it as "16S ribosomal RNA". It matches the Rfam family "Bacterial small subunit ribosomal RNA". The record is from RNAcentral.
AGAGUUUGAUCCUGGCUCAGGAUGAACGCUAGCGACAGGCUUAACACAUGCAAGUCGAGGGGCAGCGGGGGAGUAGCAAUACUCCCGCCGGCGACCGGCGCACGGGUGAGUAACACGUAUGAAACCUGCCCGUAGCAGGGGGAUAAGCGGAAGAAAUUCCGUCUAAUACCGCGUAACAACCCUUGGAGGCAUCUCCUCGGGUUUAAAGGAAGCGAUUCCGGCUACGGAUGGUCAUGCGUCGCAUUAGCUUGUUGGCGGGGUAACGGCCCACCAAGGCGACGAUGCGUAGGGGUUCUGAGAGGAAGGUCCCCCACACUGGUACUGAGACACGGACCAGACUCCUACGGGAGGCAGCAGUGAGGAAUAUUGGUCAAUGGGCGGGAGCCUGAACCAGCCAAGUCGCGUGAGGGAUGACGGUCCUGUGGAUUGUAAACCUCUUUUGUCAGGGAGCAAAGGGCGUCACGUGUGGCGCUUUGCGAGUACCUGAAGAAAAAGCAUCGGCUAACUCCGUGCCAGCAGCCGCGGUAAUACGGAGGAUGCGAGCGUUAUCCGGAUUUAUUGGGUUUAAAGGGUGCGCAGGCGGAAUGUCAAGUCAGCGGUAAAAUUUCGGGGCUCAACCCCGUCGUGCCGUUGAAACUGGCGUUCUUGAGUGAGCGAGAAGUAUGCGGAAUGCGUGGUGUAGCGGUGAAAUGCAUAGAUAUCACGCAGAACUCCGAUUGCGAAGGCAGCAUACCGGCGCCCAACUGACGCUGAAGCACGAAAGCGUGGGUAUCGAACAGGAUUAGAUACCCUGGUAGUCCACGCAGUAAACGAUGAAUACUAGCUGUCCGGGGCGAAUGAGCCCUGGGUGGCACAGCGAAAGCGUUAAGUAUUCCACCUGGGGAGUACGCCGGCAACGGUGAAACUCAAAGGAAUUGACGGGGGCCCGCACAAGCGGAGGAACAUGUGGUUUAAUUCGAUGAUACGCGAGGAACCUUACCCGGGCUCAAACGACACAGGAACGUACCUGAAAGGGUUCGGCUCUACGGAGCCUGUGUCGAGGUGCUGCAUGGUUGUCGUCAGCUCGUGCCGUGAGGUGUCGGCUUAAGUGCCAUAACGAGCGCAACCCCCAUCGACAGUUGCUAACAGGUCAGGCUGAGGACUCUGUCGAGACUGCCGGCGCAAGCUGCGAGGAGGGCGGGGAUGACGUCAAAUCAGCACGGCCCUUACGUCCGGGGCGACACACGUGUUACAAUGGCAGGUACAGCGGGAAGCCACCUGGCGACAGGGAGCGGAACCCGAAAGCCUGUCUCAGUUCGGAUUGGAGUCUGCAACCCGACUCCAUGAAGCUGGAUUCGCUAGUAAUCGCGCAUCAGCCACGGCGCGGUGAAUACGUUCCCGGGCCUUGCACUCACCGCCCGUCA